Molecule: RNA transcript, 583 nt
Organism: Enhydra lutris kenyoni (northern sea otter)
Lineage: Eukaryota; Metazoa; Chordata; Mammalia; Carnivora; Mustelidae
Gene name: microsomal glutathione S-transferase 3 pseudogene
Exons: 1
Source: RefSeq, a predicted model, not a curated record
AUGGCUGUCCUCUCUAAGGAAUAUGGUUUUGUGGUUCUCACCGGUGCCGCCAUCUUCAUAAUGGUAGAUGAUGGCUCAUCUAGCCAUCAACGUUUCCAAGGCCCGAAAGAAGUACAAAGUGGAGUAUCCUACCAUGUACAGCACGGACCCUGAGAACGGGCACCUUUUCAACUGCAUUCAGCGUGCCCACCAGAACACGUUGGAAGUGUAUCCUCCAUUCUUAUUUUUCCUAGCUGUUGGAGGUGUUUACCACCCACGUAUAGCUUCUGGCCUGGGCGUGGCCUGGAUUGUUGGACGAGUUCUUUAUGCUUAUGGUUAUUACACAGGAGAGCCCAGCAAGCGGAGUCGUGGGGCCCUGGGCUCCAUAGCCCUCAUUGGCCUCAUGGGCACAACCGUGUGCUCUGCCUUCCAGCACCUCGGUUGGGUUAAGACCGGCUUGGGCGGUGGGUCCACAUGCUGCCAUUGAAGAACUACAGGGUCUUGAAAAACUCAUUCGUUUUGAGUGACUUCACUUUUAUUGUCAGUUACUUUUUUUUUUUCUAAAUAUAAUAAAAACUUACCUGGCCUUAGCCUCAUACCUUAA